Non-coding RNA from Phoenix dactylifera (date palm), 1810 nucleotides. The record is from RefSeq and is a predicted model, not a curated record. NCBI's taxonomy places the organism in Eukaryota, Viridiplantae, Streptophyta, Magnoliopsida, Arecales, Arecaceae.
GUUCCUCUCCUCCUUCCUCCUCUCCGGUGAUGAACCGUACAUAUUAAUAUUGUGUGGGUGCGGGUUGUCGUCGGCAGCGAGAGAACUUCCCUCUCUCCGAAGAAGAGCGCUUCGGGAAUGCAGGAAACGGCGCCAGCCAGGAUUCUUCCUUGGCUGGAAAGCGAGAAAAAGGACAAGGAGACGCCAUGGCCCCUCUCUCGUCUCUUACAAUGCCGAUGCUUCCAUCCCUUCCCUCCUUUAAAUCUCCCCGCCUUCGAGUUCGGAGAUGCUCCAAGAACCCUAGUUCUCGGCUUCUUUUCGGGUUUCUUGUCUUCUCCAGGUUCUUGCCGAUUCCCUGGCUGAAAGAUCGGACUAGUGCAUUCGCCGGAGGCGCGGAAACCCUGGGGAUCGAGGGAUUUCUUGGAGAAAAUGAUUUGAUUUCGAGACAUUUUGUGGUUGUUGAGAUUUGCUGGAGCUGAGUUCUUGCUGCGGAAACCCUCGGAAUUGAGAUGUUUUGUGGAGGAAACGCUGUAGUUAUUGAGAUACGACAAACCCUUGUUUGAGGUUAUUGCUUGGUUGUCUUUGUGAAAUUGCAGUCGUUGGUAUGUGCUGCUUGUGAGGCCGCAAUCAGAGCGGAAAAGAUAUGCAUUUUAUUCUAGGAAAAGAAUGAAUACUUCAGUCCAUACAAGAUGAAAUGAAAAAUCUACAUAAAUAGAGAGGUGCAGAGAAAGGAGGAAAAGAGGAGGAGAAAUGGUAGGGAUCGUAGCACACUUCCAAGGCUAUAUGACGAGACCCCAACCCUCUCUUCUGGUUUGCUGCAGAGAUAUUUCAUGACUUGCACGAAGAAGUGAUGGCCACGGCUGCUAGAGGGCAUGGACUGAUGCUUCGUGUCCAGCAGCUAGAGGCAGAAUUUCCAUCAAUCGAGAAGACCUUCUUCACUCAGACAAAUAAUUCAAGUUUCCCUUGCAAUGAUGGUUAGCGUGCAUUUGUAAAUUCUUCAAUAAUGCUAAUUUGUUGUUGUAUUUUUAAGGUCACAAACAAAGUUUAAAAAAACAUAGGUCUGUUCGCAGUUUGGUUAAGCUGAUGCAGGUUCACUUAAGUAGUUUUAGGAAUUAACCACUCUAAUUAUUGAAAAAGGAGCUUAGUUAAAAACUUUUAUUACGUAUUAGGUUGAAUUGUUGUUUUGUAUCUUUUCUCUUAAUUGAUUAUCCUGAAACAUUAAAGAAGAAGCAAUAUUGUGACAUCAGAACUGGUAAGAAUGUUAAUCCCUUGGAAGCAUCCAAGUUCCAACAUUUUAGUUCAUAUAUAUUCUUAUGAUUGUUGUUAAUGUGACCAUGCUGUAGGCAUUGACUGGCAUGCUAAUAUUCAAUUGGAUCAGAAUCUAAUCACGCAAGGAGAUAUGCCUCGUUUUAUCGUGGAUUCUUAUGAAGAGUGUCGUGGUCCACCUCAUUUAUUUACACUGGACAAGUAUGAUGGUGACACCGGGACCUCAUCUGCGAUAUUUAAAAGUUGUCUUUGAUGACCCGUCCUUGGUCCUUCAGGUUUGAUGUUGCUGGCGCCGGUGCAUGUUUAAAAAGAUAUUCUGAUCCCUCUUUCUUUAAGGUGGUGUUAGCCUCCUCUGGAAUGCUGGAAACAGAGCUCCCAAGAGAAAAGAAAGCUCGUAAGACCAAGAUUCCUGAGACUUCAAAAGCUCAUAGAGAUGAUGAUGAUGGAGCUGAAUCCCGUCCUUGAUACCUUCUAGACUUGUAUAUGUUUCUUAUUUUGCAAAGUACAUUGUAAUUCUAAGAUAUGACAAUUUAAAUAUUUUGAAUGAUUUGAAUGUUUGUCUCAA